UACUGAGGGUGCAAGCGUUAUCCGGAAUUACUGGGUUUAAAGGGUGCGUAGGCGGCUUGAUAAGCCAGGGGUGAAAGCCUAUCUCUUAACGAUAGAAUUGCCUUUGAUACUGUAAAGCUUGAAAGGGGUUGAGGUCAGCAGAAUGUGGCAUGUAGCGGUGAAAUGCAUAGAUAUGCAAUAGAAAACCGAUUGCGAAGGCAGCUGGCUGGGCCUACUUUGACGCUGAGGCACGAAAGCGUGGGGAGCGAACAGG
RNAcentral lists this ribosomal RNA (253 nucleotides) under uncultured bacterium. Its description in RNAcentral is "partial 16S ribosomal RNA". It matches the Rfam family "Bacterial small subunit ribosomal RNA", at positions 524 to 776 of the family's 1533-position model. The record is from RNAcentral.